This 711-nucleotide ribosomal RNA is filed under the name uncultured fungus. RNAcentral's name for it is "LSU rRNA". It matches the Rfam family "Eukaryotic large subunit ribosomal RNA", at positions 78 to 804 of the family's 3401-position model. Lineage: Eukaryota; Fungi. The record is from RNAcentral.
CCCCAGUAACGGCGAAGUGAAGCGGCAAGAGCUCAAAUUUGAAAGCUGGCUCCUUCGGGGUCCGCAUUGUAAUUUGCAGAGGAUGCUUCGGGAGCGGUCCCCAUCUAAGUGCCCUGGAACGGGACGUCAUAGAGGGUGAGAAUCCCGUAUGGGAUGGGGUGUCCGCGCCCGUGUGAAGCUCCUUCNACNAGUCGAGUUGUUUGGGAAUGCANCUCUAAAUGGGUGGUAAAUUUCAUCUAAAGCUAAAUAUUGGCCGGAGACCGAUAGCGCACAAGUAGAGUGAUCGAAAGAUGAAAAGCACUUUGAAAAGAGAGUUAAAAAGCACGUGAAAUUGUUGAAAGGGAAGCGCUUGCGACCAGACUCGCUCGCGGGGUUCAGCCGGCAUUCGUGCCGGUGUACUUCCCCGCGGGCGGGCCAGCGUCGGUUUGGGUGGUCGGUCAAAGGCCCUCGGAAGGUAACGCCCCCUCGGGGGCGUCUUAUAGCCGAGGGUGCAAUGCGACCUGCCUGGACCGAGGAACGCGCUUCGGCUCGGACGCUGGCAUAAUGGUCGUAAGCGACCCGUCUUGAAACACGGACCAAGGAGUCUAACAUCUACGCGAGUGUUCGGGUGUCAAACCCGUGCGCGCAGUGAAAGCGAACGGAGGUGGGAACCCUUUUGGGUGCACCAUCGACCGAUCCUGAUGUCUUCGGAUGGAUUUGAGUAAGAGCGUA